GUAGGCCACAAAUCCUUGAUAACUCCCUCGAUUUUGUUCACUACGUCCCUCCUCAUGGCCUCUUCUUCGGGUUUUGGAGACAUGAAGUGAAAAAAGUCCAAUAUUUCUUCAUGGAGACUGACGGCAAAGGAAUGGCAGAGGCUGGACGAGGAAUCCGCCUGGUGUCCGCUGAAGCCGUAGGGCAGCAGCGGGUUGAUGCCGUGAAAGGUGUAGGCUCGAUUCAGUGGCCUCCUGCGCCCGUUUGAGUGAUGCUGGUGGUGCUUGCUCUUCACGCCGGUGGGGGUGUGACCGGCGGACUGUUGCAUGCUGCGGCAGCGCUGCUGAGCGCCGUGGAGGGGCAGCAGCCGGAGGUUGACCUCGUUCAACUCCCGCUCGCCGUAGUGGAGCGGCUGUCCCGCAUCGUCCGUCUGGCUCAGCCGGUCGAUGUGAAGCGACGAGCCGCACGGCGAGGAGCUCUCGGCCUCCGAGUCCAGGGAGGACGAGGACGGCGACAGCGAGCCCUUCCUCCUAACACUUCCUCUGUCGCCCCCGCCGUCUAGCUGUCUCGACGGCUUCUCGAACACGGCACUCGGAGAUGUACGUCUUCUGUGGUCGCCCUGGCAGUUCGGAGAGUUGCCGCUUGGCGGAAAGCUGAGCUGCUGGUGGUGGUGGUUGUCCACGGAGUUAAGUCCAAAUCCCCGGGGGGGUUCCCAGUGCAUCCACUGUCCCCUCUGCUCUGGCUGGAUCCAAGUGGUCCUGGGGUCCAUUGGGCUUGACUUUGUAGAGCUUCUUCACCACCCGGACAAAAACAAAAAAAUGGCAGAAACGGAACAAGUCCAGCUUUUUUGCGUUCAGGUGGAAACCAGGGCGACAAUUUACUUAUCUCCGAAGUGCUUCAUGUCAGGAGACGGCUGCCGUUAACCAGAGCAGCUGGAAAACUCCACUCCCUGUUGAAGACGGCCAAUAUGGCGCAGCCAACUGCCCGG
Oryzias melastigma (Indian medaka) is the source of this 965-nucleotide long non-coding RNA. RefSeq lists it as uncharacterized. NCBI's taxonomy places the organism in Eukaryota, Metazoa, Chordata, Actinopteri, Beloniformes, Adrianichthyidae. The record is from RefSeq and is a predicted model, not a curated record. The transcript has 2 exons.